This 77-nucleotide transfer RNA is filed under the name Terriglobia bacterium. RNAcentral's name for it is "tRNA-Pro". It matches the Rfam family "tRNA". Rfam says of the family: Transfer RNA (tRNA) molecules are approximately 80 nucleotides in length. Their secondary structure includes four short double-helical elements and three loops (D, anti-codon, and T loops). Further hydrogen bonds mediate the characteristic L-shaped molecular structure. tRNAs have two regions of fundamental functional importance: the anti-codon, which is responsible for specific mRNA codon recognition, and the 3' end, to which the tRNAs corresponding amino acid is attached (by aminoacyl-tRNA synthetases). tRNAs cope with the degeneracy of the genetic code in two manners: having more than one tRNA (with a specific anti-codon) for a particular amino acid; and 'wobble' base-pairing, i.e. permitting non-standard base-pairing at the 3rd anti-codon position. The record is from RNAcentral. Lineage: Bacteria; Pseudomonadati; Acidobacteriota; Terriglobia.
CUGGGUGUAGCUCAGUUUGGGAGAGCGCUGCGUCCGGGGCGCAGAGGCCGCCGGUUCAAACCCGGCCGCCCCGACCA